RNAcentral lists this ribosomal RNA (460 nucleotides) under uncultured Dehalococcoidia bacterium. RNAcentral describes it as "bacterial SSU rRNA". It matches the Rfam family "Bacterial small subunit ribosomal RNA", at positions 910 to 1382 of the family's 1533-position model. Lineage: Bacteria; Bacillati; Chloroflexota; Dehalococcoidia. The record is from RNAcentral.
UUGACGGGGGCCCGCACAAGCAGCGGAGCGUGUGGUUUAAUUCGAUGCAACACGAAGAACCUUACCAAGGCUUGACAUGACAGAAGUAGCAGACCGAAAGGUGAGCCACCUGUUGAAUCAGGAACUGCCACAAGUGCUGCAUGGCUGUCGUCAGCUCGUGCCGUGAGGUGUUGGGUUAAGUCCCGCAACGAGCGCAACCCUUUUUGCCAGUUGAUUUCUCUGGCGAGACUGCCCCGCAAAACGGGGAGGAAGGUGGGAUGACGUCAAGUCAGCAUGGCCCUUAUGCCUUGGGCUACACACACGCCACAAUGGGCGGUACAAUGGGUUGCCACAGAGCGAUCUGGAGCUAAUCCCCAAAGCCGUCCUCAGUACGGAUUACAGGCUGAAACCCGCCUGUAUGAAGCUGGAGUUGCUAGUAACCGCAUAUCAGCAUGGUGCGGUGAAUACGUUCUCGGGCCUU